GGGUGACUCAAAAUAGGGUUGGGAGGGAGAGCAAGGGAGGAAGAUUACCUCUAGAUAGGGAAUAGAGGUGGGAGGGAAAGGGAGGGAGAAGGGGAAUAGCAUGGAUGGUGGAAGGAGACCCUCAUCAUUAUACAAAAUAGAUGUAUGAAGAUGUGAAUUUGGUGUCAACAUACCUUAUAUACAAACAGAGAUAUGAUAAAUUGUGGUAUCAAGGUGAUUUUAAGAAUUGUAAUGCAAAAAAAUAAUAAGAGAAAAAAAUAUAGAAUGAGUGAAUAGCAGUAAUUUUAGAGAACAUGAAAUUCAUCAAGGGACAAUAUGAAAAAAUGGAAUACAAUAUUAGGUAUUAUAUGCUCUUUUUGCUCAAUCAAUUAAUGGAAUAGAGGGGUUGUUUGUAACCCAAGUAGUAUCCAUUGCAGGUAGAAUUAAAGAAUAGGGAUACUAUCCUCAAAUGACCCACUAAUGUGUAAGUUCUGUGAGAAAGAUAUUUGAAUGUAUCCAUGUGUUCCAUGUAUCCAAAAGCAUAGGACAGUGCCAUAACACCCAACUAAUUUGUCCUGCCUGGACCAGCCUCAUUUCUAGGGUAUCUCUCUGAGCUCUGCUCAGUUUAGCAUUAACCUAUCUCCAUCUGUGGAAAUUAAAAAUGCCUCUUACAAUUUAAUAGGCAUUCAGUAAGCUAAUGAGAAGAAAUGUUUUAUUUUCUCCUCAACAGAAAGCAAAUAAUUACCAUAGUAUUAUAUUUAGCUAAGAUUUUCAUUACUUCAGUGUAGGAAUUUCCUCCAUUUUAAAAGUAAAAGCACAAAUCUGUCCAUCGUUACUUAAUUAACAAGCAAAGACAUUGAGCAUAGAACCUAGGAUUGUUCAACAUUUAAAAUUCACUACACAGGAACUGCUACUAGUAUCUUUCCUUUUAAGGAAAUACAAAAUAAAACACUUUUUUUUUGUUUUGUUUUUGUACCAGGAAUUGAACCCAGGGGCACUUAACCACUGAGCCACAUUCCCAGCCACCACCACCACCUUUUUUUUUUUUUUUUUUUUUAAAUUUUUGAGACAGGUUCUCACUAAGUUGUUGAAGCUGCCUUGGAACUUGUGAUCCUCCUGCCUCUGUCUCCUGAUCCACUAGGAUUGCAGUCUAUGCUCUAAGAAAAACAGUUCAAAGUGAAAAACCAGCCUCUAUCUCAGAGCAAAGCCUGUCAAAGGAAGGGACAUGACCUUAGUCCUUGGAAAAACCCACAGAGCACUCCUAGGCACAUUCCUGUAAGGGUCCGGCGGACGUCAUGAAAAAAUGGAUCCAAGUAUUUUUUUUUCAUUCACGUGAUUUAAAUUGUUUAAUUUAAAUUGGGUAAACAGCUGUUGAGGAUUGUUUUAAUAUGUGAACAAAAAAGGACGUUAACAGAUCUGUUUGUUUACUUUCACCAGGAAGAGACCACCAAGAUACCGGCUCAUGCAACAGCAAAAGGGGAUUUAUUGAGGAUCCAAUCCAGCGCGCUGGGGCUCCAGGCUCACUCAACAAGGGAGAGCGGCCCAGAGCCCCGAGCAGAGGUUAAGCAGUGCUUAAGUACACUUUUUGGGGAGGGCAGGGGCUUUGCAUACAUCAGAACAAAUCAUCAUGAGGCGCGGGAAAAUCGAACAACAACUCUCAAACUUGAUUAGCACAUUCAUUGACGGGAACAGGUCGGGCGGGGGUGAUAGGUCAGUUCUAAAGCGGGGUACACAUUCAAACUGAUUGGUUUAGGCCCUGAGAUGCCUACGUGCUAAGCUGCACAGGGUCCUAGGUUAUUAAACAACUAGAUGGUCAGGGGAAAUAUUUACUGGGCAGUCCUGGGAAUUGUCCUAACAGCUACAGGAAUUUCAGGUUUUGGGUGUAGCAUAGGAACUUAACAAUACCUGGUCCUUUACAUUUUAACUCAGGCUUUGCAGCUUAGAAACUUUAUGAUACCCAGUCUUUUACACUUUAACUUCAAUUUCUUUUACUCUUACAAUUCCCACCCUGCUAAGUUGUUUAUCUACAAAUAAAGGAGAGAUCUGCUGCGCCAGGUGUCCUGACUCAGUCAAGCUAGGUGGGGAUCCAUAGCAGCCCCCUAGUAGCCACCAAUCAGCAUGAGACAGGGAAAUACCUGGGAUACCAGAUGACCCUUCCAGUAUUUUAUGGUGAUUGAUAACAAGUUGGGAAACCAUGUAGUACAGCACGUACACCCCUCUUGGCUCAAACCAAUCAGUUCAAACGAAUACCCCUUUUGUACUGACCAAUCACCCCUACCCAACUUGUUCCCGUCAGUGAAUGUGCUAAUCAUGUUUUAGAGUUGUUAUUUGAUUUUCCUGUGGUGUGUGAUGAUUUGCUAAAAGAGGCUAUGAUGUAUGUGAAGUCCCUGCCCUCUCCAAAGAAUGUAUAAAAAUGCUGCAAACCCUGGGCUCGGGGCCUCUCAGUGUCACCAGUUGCUGUGUGUGCGUGCGGAGGACUGAGCUAGCUUGCAAUAAACACCUCUUUGCUGCUUGCAUUGA
Molecule: long non-coding RNA, 2499 nt
Organism: Marmota monax (woodchuck)
Lineage: Eukaryota; Metazoa; Chordata; Mammalia; Rodentia; Sciuridae
Exons: 2
Source: RefSeq, a predicted model, not a curated record